RNAcentral lists this ribosomal RNA (465 nucleotides) under Vreelandella stevensii. Its description in RNAcentral is "partial 16S ribosomal RNA". It matches the Rfam family "Bacterial small subunit ribosomal RNA", at positions 338 to 795 of the family's 1533-position model. Lineage: Bacteria; Pseudomonadati; Pseudomonadota; Gammaproteobacteria; Oceanospirillales; Halomonadaceae. The record is from RNAcentral.
CCUACGGGAGGCAGCAGUGGGGAAUAUUGGACAAUGGGGGGAACCCUGAUCCAGCCAUGCCGCGUGUGUGAAGAAGGCCCUCGGGUUGUAAAGCACUUUCAGUGAGGAAGAACGCCUGGUGGUUAAUACCCAUCAGGAAAGACAUCACUCACAGAAGAAGCACCGGCUAACUCCGUGCCAGCAGCCGCGGUAAUACGGAGGGUGCGAGCGUUAAUCGGAAUUACUGGGCGUAAAGCGCGCGUAGGUGGCUUGAUAAGCCGGUUGUGAAAGCCCCGGGCUCAACCUGGGAACGGCAUCCGGAACUGUCAAGCUAGAGUGCAGGAGAGGAAGGUAGAAUUCCCGGUGUAGCGGUGAAAUGCGUGGAGAUCGGGAGGAAUACCAGUGGCGAAGGCGGCCUUCUGGACUGACACUGACACUGAGGUGCGAAAGCGUGGGUAGCAAACAGGAUUAGAUACCCUGGUAGUC